GACGAACGCUGGCGGCGUGCCUAAUACAUGCAAGUAGAACGCACAGUUUAUACCGUAGCUUGCUACACCAUAGACUGUGAGUUGCGAACGGGUGAGUAACGCGUAGGUAACCUGCCUGGUAGCGGGGGAUAACUAUUGGAAACGAUAGCUAAUACCGCAUAAUAUUAAUUAUUGCAUGAUAAUUAAUUGAAAGGUGCAAUUGCACCACUACCAGAUGGACCUGCGUUGUAUUAGCUAGUAGGUGAGGUAACGGCUCACCUAGGCGACGAUACAUAGCCGACCUGAGAGGGUGAUCGGCCACACUGGGACUGAGACACGGCCCAGACUCCUACGGGAGGCAGCAGUAGGGAAUCUUCGGCAAUGGACGAAAGUCUGACCGAGCAACGCCGCGUGAGUGAAGAAGGUUUUCGGAUCGUAAAGCUCUGUUGUAAGAGAAGAACGGGUGUGAGAGUGGAAAGAUCACACUGUGACGGUAUCUUACCAGAAAGGGACGGCUAACUACGUG
Molecule: ribosomal RNA, 505 nt
Filed under: uncultured bacterium
Lineage: Bacteria
Description: partial 16S ribosomal RNA
Rfam family: Bacterial small subunit ribosomal RNA
Source: RNAcentral